RNAcentral lists this ribosomal RNA (187 nucleotides) under uncultured rumen bacterium. RNAcentral's name for it is "partial 16S ribosomal RNA". It matches the Rfam family "Bacterial small subunit ribosomal RNA", at positions 340 to 533 of the family's 1533-position model. The record is from RNAcentral.
UACGGGAGGCAGCAGUGGGGGAUAUUGCACAAUGGAGGAAACUCUGAUGCAGCGACGCCGCGUGAGUGAAGAAGUAUUUCGGUAUGUAAAGCUCUAUCAGCAGGGAAGAAAGGCUCGUAAGAGAGAUGACGGUACCUGACUAAGAAGCCCCGGCUAACUACGUGCCAGCAGCCGCGGUAAUAAGGGC